AAACCUACCGACUCAAUCCUAAUUCCCAAAUCCAAUCUUAAACGCACGUAUAACCCCUCUUCCUUCUGAAAUCAUUCUCUCUCUCCCAGCCGUCUCCCAGCUUUGCUAUUCUCCUACCUAGCCGCCGCAUUCCUCUCGUCCGUUUUCGCUUUUCUUGCUCACCUUCGUUGCCGUCGCAAUUGUUGCCUUCCAGCCACUUUGUAGGCGUUGUCGUCGCUGUUACCUUGCUAUCGACUCCUCCCUUUCAGAGGCCUUGCAAUCACCGACGUUGCCUCUUAGACCACAGUUCGAAAAGUAGAAAAGGGUUUUGAAAUCAGUUUGAAGGAAAGUUUUGAAUGGGUGCGUAGUUGUUUUUAGCCGUAUCUUCCAUGGAGCAUUACCACCAGUCCAGAAAAUGGCUGAGCAGUUGGGAACCACUUGUUUAAUGGAACUUGACCCCUCCGUGACACAUGUACUUGCUACUAAUGCCGGAGCUAAGAAGGCCUGUGGGCAGUGAAAGAGAAGAAGCUUUUGGUUCAUCCGCGAUGGAUAGAGACUGCAAAUUAUUUUUGGAAAAAGCAACCGAAGAAAACUUCGUCCUCAAGAAAAAACAGUAGUAACUAGUAAUUUUUCUUGUAGCAUCACACACUUUGUUGUGUUUAUCUACUUUAGGUUUGUAAUUUGAUGCUUGAAGUUAUUUAUGAAUUUUUGUUGAUAAA
Long non-coding RNA from Arachis ipaensis, 698 nucleotides. RefSeq lists it as uncharacterized. The record is from RefSeq and is a predicted model, not a curated record. NCBI's taxonomy places the organism in Eukaryota, Viridiplantae, Streptophyta, Magnoliopsida, Fabales, Fabaceae.